Molecule: ribosomal RNA, 465 nt
Filed under: Lactobacillus helveticus
Lineage: Bacteria; Bacillati; Bacillota; Bacilli; Lactobacillales; Lactobacillaceae
Description: bacterial SSU rRNA
Rfam family: Bacterial small subunit ribosomal RNA
Source: RNAcentral
CUACGGGGAGGCAGCAGUAGGGAAUCUUCCACAAUGGACGCAAGUCUGAUGGAGCAACGCCGCGUGAGUGAAGAAGGUUUUCGGAUCGUAAAGCUCUGUUGUUGGUGAAGAAGGAUAGAGGUAGUAACUGGCCUUUAUUUGACGGUAAUCAACCAGAAAGUCACGGCUAACUACGUGCCAGCAGCCGCGGUAAUACGUAGGUGGCAAGCGUUGUCCGGAUUUAUUGGGCGUAAAGCGAGCGCAGGCGGAAGAAUAAGUCUGAUGUGAAAGCCCUCGGCUUAACCGAGGAACUGCAUCGGAAACUGUUUUUCUUGAGUGCAGAAGAGGAGAGUGGAACUCCAUGUGUAGCGGUGGAAUGCGUAGAUAUAUGGAAGAACACCAGUGGCGAAGGCGACUCUCUGGUCUGCAACUGACGCUGAGGCUCGAAAGCAUGGGUAGCGAACAGGAUUAGAUACCUUGGGUAGU